CAGGACGACGCUGGCGGCGUGCUUCAUACAUGCAAGUCGAACGAGAAGCUGACUUCGGUCAGUGGAAAGUGGCGACGGGUGAGUAAUAUGUAGAGAAUCUGCCCUUGAGUGGGGGACAACAGAGGGAAACUUCUGCUAAUACCCCAUAUGAGCUAACUUGAAAUAGUUAUCUUGAAAACUCCGGUGCUCAAGGAUGAGUCUGCAUCUGAUUAGCUAGUUGGCGGUGUAAUGGACCACCAAGGCGACGAUCAGUAGCUGGUUUGAGAGGAUGAUCAGCCACAAUGGGACUGAGACACGGCCCAUACUCCUACGGGAGGCAGCAGUAGGGAAUUUUGCGCAAUGGGCGAAAGCCUGAACCGCAGCAACGCCGCGUGAACGAUUAAGCCCUUCGGGGUGUAAAGUUCUGUCAGUAGGGACGAAUUUUGACGGUACCUACAGAGGAAGCACCGGCUAACUCCGUGCCAGCAGCAGC
Molecule: ribosomal RNA, 472 nt
Filed under: uncultured bacterium
Lineage: Bacteria
Description: bacterial SSU rRNA
Rfam family: Bacterial small subunit ribosomal RNA
Source: RNAcentral